GGCGCUAUGGUGUAGUGGCAGCACUUGGGAUUUUGAUUUGAGGCAACUCAACAGGUUUCGUUCCCACAACCCAGGUUCGAACCCUGGUAGUGCCU
Molecule: transfer RNA, 95 nt
Filed under: Armillaria luteobubalina
Lineage: Eukaryota; Fungi; Basidiomycota; Agaricomycetes; Agaricales; Physalacriaceae
Rfam family: tRNA
About the family: Transfer RNA (tRNA) molecules are approximately 80 nucleotides in length. Their secondary structure includes four short double-helical elements and three loops (D, anti-codon, and T loops).
Source: Rfam by way of RNAcentral